RNAcentral lists this long non-coding RNA (597 nucleotides) under Piliocolobus tephrosceles (Ugandan red Colobus). RNAcentral's name for it is "lncRNA (ENSPTEG00000028807.1)". The record is from RNAcentral. Lineage: Eukaryota; Metazoa; Chordata; Mammalia; Primates; Cercopithecidae.
ACCUGAUCAAUGAUCCCUUCACUCUUAACAUCAGGAAACAGAGGUAUGAUGCAAGUGGAUAUAAAAUCAUGUUGCUAGAAUUCUCCAUGAAGGUCACAGGCCCCUGUGACAAGGCAGGUACACCCUGCCUUGUACCUGAAGGCCUGGUUCUGAAGCUAAGGGAGCUGCUGUAACCAGGAUCUGGUCUCACAUCAGUCUGGAGAGUGGUUGCCACUUCUUGGCUCUAGAGAACCCCCAACUUAUGUGGCUAGCGGCCCCCCAUCAUCGUGGGAUCAUUGUGCUCAGUGUGAUCACUUUGAGGAAUAUGGACAGAGAUUAAGAUUGAGAUUGAUGGAGAAAGAGAAAUACCCUAUCAAGAGCAAUAGCAGCAGAGACAGAGUGGCUCUGUGACUAGAAGGACUCCUGUGAUGGGUACGUGAACACGUAGGCUGGUCCCAGUAACUGCACCUCAGUGACCUUUCAGGCUCCAUGAGUCCUGAUUGCUAUGUGACAAUGUAUUCUAGCUUCCUGUGCAGCUUUACAAUAACCUCAGUAUCUGAGGUCACUUAUCUCUGUUCCUCUUCUGGCAAAAGAACCUAAUAAAAUACAUUCCUGAAC